RNAcentral lists this ribosomal RNA (507 nucleotides) under uncultured bacterium. RNAcentral's name for it is "partial 16S ribosomal RNA". The stretch from base 20 to 329 matches the Rfam family "Bacterial small subunit ribosomal RNA", at positions 47 to 358 of the family's 1533-position model. The record is from RNAcentral.
GACGAACGCUGGCGGCGUGCUUAACACAUGCAAGUCGAACGGAAAGGCCCUGCUUUUGUGGGGUGCUCGAGUGGCAAACGGGUGAGUAACACGUGAGUAACCUGCCCUUGACUUUGGGAUAACUUCAGGAAACUGGGGCUAAUACCGGAUAGGAGCUCCUGCUGCAUGGUGGGGGUUGGAAAGUUUCGGCGGUUGGGGAUGGACUCGCGGCUUAUCAGCUUGUUGGUGGGGUAGUGGCUUACCAAGGCUUUGACGGGUAGCCGGCCUGAGAGGGUGACCGGCAAGGUUGGGGAGGAGUGCCGGCCGGGACGCGUGGGGGGAGGGGGGGGGGUGAAUAGUGCGAACGGGGCGGGCGCCUGGUGCGGAGCGGGGGGGGGGGGGUAGCGGGCUUUGGGGAUGGAGCACGGCGUCGGCUGUGAGGAAGGGAGAGUGAGGGGAAGGGGAAAGGAGACACGGGAUAAACAGGUCCCAGGAGCGGAUGGGUGGUGGACGACAACAUGUCCGAUC